UACGUAGGUGGCAAGCGUUAUCCGGAUUUACUGGGUGUAAAGGGCGUGUAGGCGGGACUGCAAGUCAGAUGUGAAAACCACGGGCUCAACCUGUGGCCUGCAUUUGAAACUGUAGUUCUUGAGUACUGGAGAGGCAGACGGAAUUCCUAGUGUAGCGGUGAAAUGCGUAGAUAUGAGGAGGAACACCAGUGGCGAAGGCGGUCUGCUGGACAGCAACUGACGCUGAGGCGCGAAAGCGUGGGGAGCAAACAGG
RNAcentral lists this ribosomal RNA (253 nucleotides) under uncultured bacterium. RNAcentral describes it as "partial 16S ribosomal RNA". It matches the Rfam family "Bacterial small subunit ribosomal RNA", at positions 524 to 776 of the family's 1533-position model. The record is from RNAcentral.